AAAUCUCUACAACAAAUAUCUCAGCUCUUGUCAUGAUGAAGAACGUAGCGAAAUGCGAUACUUAGUGUGAAUUGUAGAAUCCCAUGAAUCAUCGAGUUUUUGAACACAAUUUGCACCCAAGGCCUUUUUCGAGGGCACUUCUGUCUGGGCAUCA
Molecule: non-coding RNA, 154 nt
Organism: Picea glauca (white spruce)
Lineage: Eukaryota; Viridiplantae; Streptophyta; Pinopsida; Pinales; Pinaceae
Source: Rfam